Molecule: non-coding RNA, 31 nt
Filed under: Rattus norvegicus (Norway rat)
Lineage: Eukaryota; Metazoa; Chordata; Mammalia; Rodentia; Muridae
Source: RNAcentral
UCCUCUUUCACAACACUGGACCAUCUGUCCC